AAGAAAUUAGUUAAUUUAUAACAUUAAUUUGUCAAAUUAAAAUUAUUAUUUUAUAAUAUUUCUUU
RNAcentral lists this transfer RNA (65 nucleotides) under Natula pravdini. RNAcentral's name for it is "tRNA-Asp". The record is from RNAcentral. Lineage: Eukaryota; Metazoa; Arthropoda; Insecta; Orthoptera; Trigonidiidae.